Molecule: ribosomal RNA, 156 nt
Filed under: uncultured Sporosarcina sp.
Lineage: Bacteria; Bacillati; Bacillota; Bacilli; Caryophanales; Caryophanaceae
Description: partial 16S ribosomal RNA
Rfam family: Bacterial small subunit ribosomal RNA
Source: RNAcentral
AAGUCUGAUGGAGCAACGCCGCGUGAGUGAAGAAGGUUUUCGGAUCGUAAAACUCUGUUGUAAGGGAAGAACACGUACGAGAGUAACUGCUCGUACCUUGACGGUACCUUAUUAGAAAGCCACGGCUAACUACGUGCCAGCAGCCGCGGUAAUAAU